ACUGGAUGGAAGAUUUAAGAAAUCUUAAAAUUCCAUGUCAGUAGCAAGAAUUAUUGUACUGCUAGGUAUGAGAGGCUGAAAACAUGCUGAACGAGGCGCAGUCGUCGUUCAUCAGUGGGCCCACUUACAAGAUGCGUAUUAUCCUGAUAAACAUCUACGCCGUGGUUAUAAUUCAAAUUUUAUCAUGUACAGCAACGACCAGGUGGGCGAUUAAAAUACUGCACGCAACACCAAAGUGCAAGCAGCUUGGCUUUACCCACAGUUCGGAAUAGCACGGAAUAUUUCUCAAGUAAUAUAACAUGUGAAGUAUAACAGAAUUUUGUCAGAAAAAUAACAAUCCCAGACGCCGGAGGUUCUGUUCCCUUCCAUUCCUACAGGGCAACGGUCAUCGAUUUGUCGUCAGAUCAUUCCAACGCGCCGCCCUCACCCAACCAGGUGCGCCAGCGCGCCAUGCAACGCCUCCUUAGUUACAGACUUAUACAAUGAACAGAUCGCAACUCUCUCCUCACUAAUUGUUUUUUACCACGCGCAACAGGCUCACCGCAACUUGGUCACGGUGUCCUGCGGCUUGAGACCAAGUCUGCCGACGUAUGAAUUCCUUGCGCGCGAACAGCGAUUUCCUCUGCGAUCCGCCGUACAUCUGACCCGGUACUCCGAGGAGCCCACGGAAUUACUUCUUGAAAAGUUUUCGGAACCUUGGAACACGUCACAUCUAACAUCGAUGUCGUCGGCGUCAUCGGCAUCAACGGCAUCAGGGGGAGCAGCAGCAGUCGAUGAGGGCUCAGCUGAUGCCGUCGCAACCUUGACGGUGCUUGGUCUCGCGGAGAUGGCGGCCCUGCCACUGGUAAGGGGUAAGGAAGCCAGGUCACCUCUCACCGCCCUUGCCCAUUGCAGCGCGCUGCCCUUUCCUUUGCCCAGCACUGCCCACAACAACACCUUCGUUGUUGCUACGCUGGCGUCCUUCGCAAAGGAGCCGUCUGGGUGCUUCAUGAUGCUUCAGAUGCAAUCGUGGCUUUACCGUCCAUGUAUAAAU
This 1033-nucleotide long non-coding RNA is filed under the name Volvox carteri. Its description in RNAcentral is "long non-coding RNA (VCAR_LNC002943)". Lineage: Eukaryota; Viridiplantae; Chlorophyta; Chlorophyceae; Chlamydomonadales; Volvocaceae. The record is from RNAcentral.